GAUCCUGGCUCAGAAUGAACGCUGGCGGCAUGGAUUAGGCAUGCAAGUCGAACGUGAAUCUGGCCUUCGGGCCGGAUGAAAGUGGCGAAAGGGUGAGUAACACGUGAGUAACCUGCCCCUGAGUUUGGAAUAGGCCCGGGAAACCGGGAUUAAUUCCGGAUGAGGCGCUGUUCCGCCUGGAACAGUCGCUAAAGGCUUCGGUCGCUCGGGGAUGGGCUCGCGGCCCAUCAGCUAGUUGGCGGGGUAACGGCCCACCAAGGCGUCGACGGGUAGCUGGUCUGAGAGGAUGGUCAGCCACACUGGGACUGAGACACUGCCCAGACUCCUACGGGAGGCUGCAGUCGAGAAUCAUCCGCAAUGGGCGAAAGCCUGACGGUGCAAUGCCGCGUGGGGGAUGAAGGCCCUCGGGUCGUAAACUCCUGUCACCCGGGAUAAGAAUGUGACGGUGCCGGGAGAGGAAGCCACGGCUAACUACGUGCCAGCAGCCGCGGUAAUACGUAGGUGGCGAGCGUUAUUCGGAUUCACUGGGCGUAAAGGGUCCGCAGGGGGUCUGCCAAGUCUGGUGUGAAAGCCCGGGGCUCAACCCCGGAAUGGCGCUGGAUACUGGUGGACUAGAGUGCAUGAUGGGAGAGCGGAAUUCCAGGUGUAGCGGUGGAAUGCGUAGAUAUCUGGAAGAACCCCGAUGGCGAAGGCGGCUCUCUGGCAUGCUACUGACCCUCAUGGACGAAAGCGUGGGUAGCGAACAGGAUUAGAUACCCUGGUAGUCCACGCUGUAAACGGUGUGCACUAGAUGUGGGGGGUCCCUUGGUCCCUUCCGUGUCCAAGCUAACGCGUUAAGUGCACCGCCUGGGGACUACGGCCGCAAGGCUAAAACUCAAAGGAAUUGACGGGGGCCCGCACAAGCGGUGGAGCAUGUGGCUUAAUUCGAGGCAACGCGAAGAACCUUACCAGGGCUUGACAUAUACUGGACAACCUGUGAAAGCAGGUCUCCUUUCGGGGCCGGUAUACAGGUGCUGCAUGGCUGUCGUCAGCUCGUGCCGUGAGGUGUUCGGUUAAGUCCGGCAACGAGCGCAACCCGUGUCAUUAGUUGCUACCAGGUCAAGCUGGGCACUCUAGUGAGACUGCCCGUGUCAAGCGGGAGGAAGGCGCGGAUGACGUCAAGUCCGUAUGGCCCUUACGUCCUGGGCUGCACGCGUGCUACAAUGGGCGGUACAGAGGGAAGCAAGACCGCGAGGUGGAGCAAAUCCGGAAAACCGUCCCCAGUUCGGAUUGGAGUCUGCAAUUCGACUCCAUGAAGCCGGAAUCGCUAGUAAAGGCGUAUCAGCAACGGCGCCUUGAAUACGUUCCCGGGCCUUGUACACACCGCCCGUCACAUCAUGGAAGCUGGCUGCACCCGAAGUCGCUGAUCCCGCUUCGGCGGGAAGGUGCCGAAGGUGUGUCCAGUGACUGGGAUGAAGUCGUAACAAGGUA
This 1470-nucleotide ribosomal RNA is filed under the name metagenome. Its description in RNAcentral is "bacterial SSU rRNA". It matches the Rfam family "Bacterial small subunit ribosomal RNA". The record is from RNAcentral.